RNAcentral lists this ribosomal RNA (801 nucleotides) under Chrysotila stipitata. RNAcentral describes it as "LSU rRNA". It matches the Rfam family "Eukaryotic large subunit ribosomal RNA", at positions 77 to 889 of the family's 3401-position model. The record is from RNAcentral. Lineage: Eukaryota; Haptophyta; Isochrysidales; Isochrysidaceae.
CCCCUAGUAAUGGCGAAUGAAGCGGGCGUAGCUCACGCUGCCAAUCUGGAGGCCGUUGUCUGUGCCUCCCGAAUUGUGGUCUAGGAAGGCGCCAUCGGCCGCGCGCGUCGCCGAAAUCCCUUGGAAGAGGGUAUCGGAGAAGGUGAGAAUCCUGUGCCGUGGCGCGUGGCGGCCUCACGAUGCGUCCUUGUCGAGUCGGGUUGCUUGGGAUUGCAGCUUGAAGUGGGUGGUAAAUUCCAUCUAAAGCUAAAUAGUGGCGAGAGACCGAUAGCGAACAAGUACCGUGAGGGAAAGAUGCAAAGAACUUUGAAAAGAGAGUCAAAGAGUGCUUGAAAUUGGCAGGAGGAAACCCGGUUGCGCCCGGCGUCGGCGCGUCGACUCAGCCGCGUGCGCGCUCGUCCUGUGCGGACCGCAAGGCCGCUUUGGGUUUGGUGUGUGUGCGGUGCACUUUGACGCGCCGGGUCAGCUUUCGCUGCGUGCUUCGUGAGAUGCCGUAGGGUGAGGCCUUGUGCGAUCCCAUUCGGAGCGUCGCGGCCGCGGCGGAUGUUUAGUUGAGCUGACGGAACGGGCGCCACCGACCCGUCUAGAAACACGGACCAAGGAGUCUGACACGUGUGCGAGUACCCGGGUGUGGAAUGCCCGCGUGCGGAAUGAAAGUGAAGGGCAUGCCCUGCCAACCGACCUUGAGCUGCUGCGAAGGGUUUGAGUGGAGCACGUGUGUCGGGACCCGAAAGAUGGUGAACUAUGCCUGAGGAGGGUGAAGCCAGAGGAAACUCUGGUGGAGGCUCGUAGCGAUACUGA